Molecule: signal recognition particle RNA, 266 nt
Filed under: Bacillota bacterium
Lineage: Bacteria; Bacillati; Bacillota
Also listed under: 2 other names
Description: signal recognition particle sRNA large type
Rfam family: Bacterial large signal recognition particle RNA
About the family: The signal recognition particle (SRP) is a universally conserved ribonucleoprotein involved in the co-translational targeting of proteins to membranes.
Source: RNAcentral
CCGUGCUAGACGGGGAGGCAGCGGUGCCCUGUAACCUGCAAUCCGCUAUAGCAGGGUCGAAGUCCCCUUGGAGGCUUUGUACUUUGUGGGGCCGGCUCGAACAAGUGGUGAUGAGGGCCAGGUCCUACGCAACGGAAAGUCAUGAAGCCCGUCAGGUCCGGAAGGAAGCAGCGGUAAGUGACCCCUUUCGUGUGCCGUGGGAGUGCCUGGUUAGAGCUAACUAUUCGGGUAACGCCUAUGAAGACAAGUCGAAUUGGGGUGCACGG